Molecule: long non-coding RNA, 431 nt
Organism: Orbicella faveolata
Lineage: Eukaryota; Metazoa; Cnidaria; Anthozoa; Scleractinia; Merulinidae
Source: RefSeq, a predicted model, not a curated record
CACAAUCAGUUGCCAGUUGCCCCACUCACUCAGUCUUCAACUCUAACAUACCAGACAAGCCACCCUCAAAGUUUCCCUGGGCAGCAGCUGCCUUCAUCAGUGGAAUACAAUCAGUCUCCUUCUUCUGUGGCCAGUGAGACUGGUGAAGGAUACAGUAAUUCCAGAGGUCACACUCAAAGCUCCUCUGGUCAUGACAUACCACCUUCAUCAGUGGGAUGCAGUCAGGUACCUUUUACAGCAGCCACUAGUUAUCAGCCAAGUAAGUACAAAAUCUAAUUUUCCUACUGCUAUUACUAAUUUUAUUGGCCAAAACUCUAUCCUGGUUUAAUUUAUGUACAUCCAGGUCCAAGAGGGCCGUUCACAUCGUAGAAGCUCUUAGAUGUAAAUUUAUUCAGAAUUAAUAUUUUGUAUGCUGUUUUAAAUAUAUUUGC